This 253-nucleotide ribosomal RNA is filed under the name uncultured bacterium. RNAcentral describes it as "partial 16S ribosomal RNA". It matches the Rfam family "Bacterial small subunit ribosomal RNA", at positions 524 to 776 of the family's 1533-position model. The record is from RNAcentral.
UACGUAGGGUGCAAGCGUUGUCCGGAAUUAUUGGGCGUAAAGAGCUCGUAGGCGGUCUGUCGCGUCUGCUGUGAAAACUCAGGGCUUAACCCUGAGCUUGCAGUGGGUACGGGCAGACUAGAGUGCGGUGGGGGAGACUGGAAUUCCUGGUGUAGCAGUGAAAUGCGUAGAUAUCAGGAGGAACACCGAUGGCGAAGGCAGGUCUCUGGGCUGACACUGACGCUCAUGCACGAAAGCGUGGGGAGCAAGCAGG